GCAUAUCAAUAAGCGGAGGAAAAGAAACUAACAAGGAUUCCCUUAGUAACGGCGAGUGAAGAGGGAAGAGCUCAAAUUUUAAAUCUAUCAUGUUGUACAUGAUCGAGUUGUAAUUUGAAGAAGCGUUUUCUCGUACUUUAUGAUCAGUAUAAGUUCUCUUGGAACAGGACAUCAUAGAGGGUGAUAAUCCCGUCUGUUACUGAUUGUGAGGUUCGUUUAUGAUACGCUUUCAAAGAGUCGAGUUGUUUGGGAUUGCAGCUCCAAAUGGGUGGUAAACAUCACCUAAGGCUAAAUAUUUGCGAGAGACCGAUAGCGAACAAGUACCGUGAGGGAAAGAUGAAAAGAACUUUGAAAAGAGAGUUAAAAAGUAUGUGAAAUUGUUGAAAGGGAAACGAUUGAAGUCAGUCGUGCAGUCAUCAAUUCAGCGGUUAACAUUUUAUGUUUCCGUGUAAUUUGGUGUCUGUUGGUUGGCAUCAAUUUUGAUUGUUAUAAAAAGGUUAAGGGGAUGUGGCUCCUUCGGGAGUGUUAUAACCCUUAGCGUAAUGUGACGAUUAGGAUUGAGGUUUGCAACGAAUACCUUUUAGGGCAGUUUCACCUGGCCUCUCGUGGAAUUAUAGAUAGUUAAGAGCAUGCUCUUACUGUUUAUGAUUCUACGAAAAGGUUGGAGUGUAAAACUAAUUCGUUAAGGAUGUUGACGUA
RNAcentral lists this ribosomal RNA (699 nucleotides) under uncultured Glomerales. RNAcentral's name for it is "LSU rRNA". It matches the Rfam family "Eukaryotic large subunit ribosomal RNA", at positions 38 to 633 of the family's 3401-position model. Lineage: Eukaryota; Fungi; Glomeromycota; Glomeromycetes; Glomerales; Glomeraceae. The record is from RNAcentral.